This 63-nucleotide transfer RNA is filed under the name Ixodes ovatus. Its description in RNAcentral is "tRNA-Ser". The record is from RNAcentral. Lineage: Eukaryota; Metazoa; Arthropoda; Arachnida; Ixodida; Ixodidae.
GACUUUUUAACUAUAAUAAGUGUAUAUUUUGAAAAUAUAAAAAAGAAAUAAUUCUAAAAGUCU